UUGUAUCAUAAUUUGGGCUCCAGGUUCAGCAGACAAUAAAGAGGUGAUUUGGUUUCCUGCUGGCCAUUAUUUGCUGAGCAUAAAUUUCCCCUGAAGACCCACUGGAAGGGGUAUGGUUGGUAUUCUUGGAUCUCCUAGACACAAGGCAGCUGAAAUCUAAGUGCCACAUUCUAGAAUGAGGAACACCAUGGUGGACUAGGAGAGAUGGAGCCAGUUACUGGACUGUUGCAAUGAGGCAGGGGCUAUGGAGGGGGAGAAGAUGAGGGUCCACACCAGCCAGGUCACAGCGUGCUGUGUGUUGAGUCAGGAAAGUGACAUCAGGCAAUGGGAGCCACUGGCAGGUGUCAGGCAGGGGAACAGCAUGGCCAAUUUUACAUUUAGAACUCUGAAAGUUAAAAGAGGAUGAACUUGAAAGGACGAGACUGGAGGCAGGGAACCAAUUACAUAGUUGCUGCAGUGGUACAGAUGACAGAUAAUGAGAGCCUACAACGAGACAGGAGAAGAAGACACAGAAAAGGAAGAGAGCAUUUAAGAGAGAUGGAUGGGGUAAGAUCAACCAGGCUUGCUGGCUGGAAUGACGUGUGAGAGGGAGGUGAUGGAGAGCCUCUAGGACGACUCCCAAGUUCCCAGCAUGGAUGGCAGAGGAGGAAGAAGAUCACAGCAUAGAGGAAGAAGUAACUGAGAAGACAUAGUAAGAAAAGUACAGCACUAGGAGUGAGAGGAUGAAGUCCAAGUUCUAGCACCUUCACUUCCUGGAUAUUGAAAGAAUGUAUGUCCUUAACCCUCUAAGCAACUCAGCUUCUCCAACUACAAGAGGAGAAACCAGGAGAAUUCACCUCUCACAAGGCUGUUGUGAGCAUAAGACGAACUUGCCAAGGGGAAGGUCCUCGCCACCUCAGAAGUGGUGAACACAGGUCAGAUAAUAGAAUCAUGGCUACUGGAAUCUGUGGAUAUGGACAUGGCGGAAAAGACUGACAGGUGGCAGCAGAAUAGCCAACUCCAGAGAAGCCCCUUGGGCAAUGACACUGAAACAGGCUCCUGAAGAAAACGUAAUGGUACGUCCAGCUGCCUAAAGAGAAGGGCACUGAGGGUGAGAGCACAGAGGAAUGGACCACAGCGGGGUCAGGAAAGUGGAGCAGCUGGAUCUUUCUUCUGGAACCUGGAGUCUGAGGUCUGCAAAAGGACAAGAGCUGACCUGGAAAGGUCGGGGGUCGAUAACAUCCUGGACCAUCUCACUAAGGAGCUUGGAUGUGACCGUGAGAGACAGAUGAAUCUGUAGGAUGGAAGUCAGCAAAGAGCAAGAUCUGUGCUGCAGAAUUCCAACUCUGGUAGGAGUACAAAAGGCAUUUUUGAGGGAAUGCUAGAAAAAAAACUGGAGAAAUGUCAAACAUUACUCUCUUAAGAAGAUUAAUGUUUUAGCAAUAUUUAAACAUUCAAUAAAUGGGGUAAUUGGGCCUGUAUGUUAAAAACAGAUUAAUAGCUACUUGGAGCUCACUGUACUUUUUGUCCGUGAUUAGUGUAAAUAAAACCUCAAAUUGCAAUAAUACAAGAAUGUGCAACUAAAUAUAAACAUGACCUACUUCUCAUAGCAGUAAAUUGUUCAACAACAAGCAGUUCCUACUGGUGUACACACUUCCUCAGGGCACCAUGUAUCAAUCUUGAUGCCCUAUCCUCCAUCCAGAUGACCUACAGCAUAAACCAUCCCACAGUCCUUCUCGCAUAAUCCACCAAUGACCCCAGCUACAGAACACAGUUGAUGUUCCAGAGCACAGCACAGAAGGCCUUCCAGAAUCAGAACUAACUUUUCCUGCCCCACCCCUGUCUGACUUCCUCCUGUACCUGUUCCCUCUGGAUUUAGGCUCCGUAACACUGAACUCCUUCAGUUCUCAGAAUUUGCUGCCUGGCCAAUCUCAGAUCCCCAAGCCUCUGGUAACAUUUUUCAUGCUUGGGAUGCACUGCCUCUCAGCAUCUGGCCAGUCUUCACUUUAACUCAAAGCAAGUUGAACAACAUCCUUGGUUACUAGGCUAAAAGCCAGCCCUUCACUGGCCUCACUACAUGCUGUCCACAAUCUUCAGUCUGUGCACCGACUCUACAGCAUUGCAACAAACUGCU
Molecule: non-coding RNA, 2113 nt
Organism: Microcebus murinus (gray mouse lemur)
Lineage: Eukaryota; Metazoa; Chordata; Mammalia; Primates; Cheirogaleidae
Source: RefSeq, a predicted model, not a curated record